GACGAACGCUGGCGGCGUGCUUAACACAUGCAAGUCGAACGGAAAGGCCCUGCUUUUGUGGGGUGCUCGAGUGGCGAACGGGUGAGUAAAACGCGAGUAACCUGCCCUUGUCUUUGGGAUAACUUCAGGAAACUGGGGCUAAUACCGGGUAGGAGCUCCUGCUGCAUGGUGGGGGUUGGAAAGUGUCGGCGGUUGGGGAUGGUUUCGCGGGUUAUCAGCUUGUUGGGGGGGUAGUGGCUUACCAAGGGUUUGACGGGUAGGCGGCAUGAGAGGGGGGCCGGCCACAUUGGGACUGAGAGACGGCCCAGACGCCAACGUGAGGCAGCAGUGGGGAAUCUUGCACAAUGGGCGGAAGCCUGAUGCAACAGCGCCGCGUGCGGGAUGACGGCCUUCGGGUUGUAAACCGCUGUCGCCUGUGACGAAGAGUGAGUGACGGUAAUGAGUAAAGAAGCACCGGCUAACUACGUG
RNAcentral lists this ribosomal RNA (468 nucleotides) under uncultured bacterium. Its description in RNAcentral is "partial 16S ribosomal RNA". It matches the Rfam family "Bacterial small subunit ribosomal RNA", at positions 28 to 507 of the family's 1533-position model. The record is from RNAcentral.